Molecule: long non-coding RNA, 974 nt
Filed under: Marmota monax (woodchuck)
Lineage: Eukaryota; Metazoa; Chordata; Mammalia; Rodentia; Sciuridae
Source: RNAcentral
AUUCCAUUGAGUGAACAUGCUGUAUUUUGUGUAUUCAUCAGCUGGUGGGCUUUAGGCUGGUUUUCACCUCUCAACUGUUAGUGCUGAUGUCAACACUGGUCUGCAAGUUUCUAUGUGGGCGUGUUUUCCCUUCACCAGGACACAUGUUAAGAAGGGGUGCUGCUGGGUCAUGUAGCAACUCUGCAUUCAUAUGUUGGAGGAGCUGCAGACUGUGUCCCAAGUGCCUGCACCACUUUCUUUACACUCCUACCCGUAACUUAUGAGGGCUCUGUUCUUCAUGUCUGCACCAACACCUGUCACUUCCUGUCAUUGAUUACAGCUAGUUUUUCAACAGACAAAGGAUCUGAAAGAACACUUCACAAAGAUGAUAUACAAAUGGACAACAAAUAUAUGAAAAGAUGUUCAACAGUAAUCAGGGAAAUACAAGAUCAUGUGUCAUUUUAACGCUGAGUAAUAUUACAUUGUGUAUAUAUACCAGUUUCUUUAUCCAUUCAUCUACUGAAGGGCAUCUAGGUUGGUUCCACAAUUUAGCUAUUGUGAAUUGAGCUGCUAUAAUCAUUGAUGUGGCUGUGUCCCUAUAAUAUGAUGAUUUUAAGUCCUUUGGGUAUAGAGCAAGGAGUGGGAUAGCUGGGUCAAUGGUGGUUUCAUUCCAAGUUUUCUAAGGAAUCUCCAUACUGCUUUCCAUAGUAGUUGCACCAGUUUGCAGUCCCAUUACAAUGUGUGAGUGACUGUACCUUUUCCUCCACAUUCUCUCCAACACUUACUAUUGCUUGAAUUCUUGAUAAUUGCCGUUCUAACCAGAGUGAGAUGAAAUCUUAGAGUAGUUUUGAUUUUCAUUUCUCUAAUUGCUAGAGAAGUUGAACAGUUUUUCAUAUAUUUGUUAAUCGAUUGCAUAUCUUCUUCUGAGAAGUGUCUGCCACAUCUAAUUAUUUAUGUGUGGUUUAGGUCUUCCAUUUCUCUGUUGAUCAUCUGCC